CGGGGCGUGGCGCAGCCUGGUUUAGCGCGCUUGACUGGGGGUCAAGAGGUCGCAGGUUCAAAUCCUGUCGCCCCGA
RNAcentral lists this transfer RNA (76 nucleotides) under Phycisphaerae bacterium. Its description in RNAcentral is "tRNA-Pro". It matches the Rfam family "tRNA". From Rfam's summary of the family: Transfer RNA (tRNA) molecules are approximately 80 nucleotides in length. Their secondary structure includes four short double-helical elements and three loops (D, anti-codon, and T loops). The record is from RNAcentral. RNAcentral also lists the same sequence under 4 other names. Lineage: Bacteria; Pseudomonadati; Planctomycetota; Phycisphaerae.